Molecule: ribosomal RNA, 460 nt
Filed under: uncultured bacterium
Lineage: Bacteria
Description: partial 16S ribosomal RNA
Rfam family: Bacterial small subunit ribosomal RNA
Source: RNAcentral
CCUACGGGCGGCAGCAGUGAGGAAUAUUGGUCAAUGGGCGUAAGCCUGAACCAGCCAAGUCGCGUGAGGGAUGAAGGUUCUAUGGAUCGUAAACCUCUUUUAUAAGGGAAUAAAGUGUGGGACGUGUCCUGUUUUGUAUGUACCUUAUGAAUAAGGAUCGGCUAACUCCGUGCCAGCAGCCGCGGUAAUACGGAGGAUCCGAGCGUUAUCCGGAUUUAUUGGGUUUAAAGGGUGCGUAGGCGGCCUUUUAAGUCUGCGGUGAAAGUCUGUGGCUCAACCAUAGAAUUGCGGUUGAAACUGGGAGGCUUGAGUAUGUUUGAGGCAGGCGGAAUGCGUGGUGUAGCGGUGAAAUGCUUAGAUAUCACGCAGAACCCCGAUUGCGAAGGCAGCCUGCCAAGCCAUGACUGACGCUGAUGCACGAAAGCGUGGGGAUCAAACAGGAUUAGAUACCCGGGUAGUG